This 76-nucleotide transfer RNA is filed under the name bacterium. RNAcentral's name for it is "tRNA-Ala". It matches the Rfam family "tRNA". Rfam says of the family: Transfer RNA (tRNA) molecules are approximately 80 nucleotides in length. Their secondary structure includes four short double-helical elements and three loops (D, anti-codon, and T loops). RNAcentral also lists the same sequence under 5 other names. The record is from RNAcentral.
GGGGCGUUAGCGCAGUUGGUAGCGCGCUUCAAUGGCAUUGAAGAGGUCACCAGUUCGACCCUGGUACGCUCCACCA